This is a non-coding RNA of Acanthosepion pharaonis, 108 nucleotides long. The record is from the annotation of a GenBank genome assembly. NCBI's taxonomy places the organism in Eukaryota, Metazoa, Mollusca, Cephalopoda, Sepiida, Sepiidae.
UUGCGGUUAUAUGAUGUUGCAACAUUGGUUCCCGUACGAUCACCAAGGUUAAGCAACUUCGAACUUGAUCAGUACUUUGAUGGGUAACCGCUUGGAAAUACCAGGUAC